AGAGUAUGAUCCUGGCUCAGGAUGAACGCUGGCGGUAUGCUUAACACAUGCAAGUCGAACGAAAGUUUUUAACUUUAGUGGCGAACGGGUGCGUAAUACGUGAGAAUCUGCCCUUAGGAGAAGAAUAACUGCUGGAAACGGCUGCUAAAUCUUCAUAUGCCGAGAGGUGAAAUAGUUUAGGCUGCCUAAGGAUGAGCUCGCGCCUGAUUAGCUAGUUGGUAAGGUAAUGGCUUACCAAGGCCACGAUCAGUAGCUGGUUUGAGAGAACGAUCAGCCACACUGGGACUGAGACACGGCCCAGACUCCUCCGGGAGGCAGCAGUGAGGAAUUUUCCGCAAUGGGCGAAAGCCUGACGGAGCAAUACCGCGUGAGGGAUGAAGGAUUUUGGUCUGUAAACCUCUUUUCUCAAGAAAGAAGUUCUGACGGUACUUGAGGAAUAAGCAUCGGCUAACUCCGUGCCAGCAGCCGCGGUAAUACGGGGGAUGCAAGCGUUAUCCGGAAUCAUUGGGCGUAAAGCGCCUGUAGGUUGUUUACUAAGUCUGUUGUUAAAGACUAGGGCUUAACCCUAGAGAAGCAAUGGAAACUUGUAGACUAGAGUAU
This 600-nucleotide ribosomal RNA is filed under the name uncultured marine bacterium. RNAcentral describes it as "bacterial SSU rRNA". It matches the Rfam family "Bacterial small subunit ribosomal RNA", at positions 8 to 649 of the family's 1533-position model. The record is from RNAcentral.